CGACGUGGGUAACCUGCCUCAUACAGGGGGAUAACAGUUAGAAAUGACUGCUGAUACCGCAUAAGCGCACAGUGCUGCAUGGCACAGUGUGAAAAACUCCGGUGGUAUGAGAUGGACUCGCGUCUGAUUAGCUAGUUGGUGGGGUAACGGCCUACCAAGGCGACGAUCAGUAGCCGGCCUGAGAGGGUGACCGGCCACAUUGGGACUGAGACACGGCCCAA
Molecule: ribosomal RNA, 221 nt
Filed under: uncultured bacterium
Lineage: Bacteria
Description: partial 16S ribosomal RNA
Rfam family: Bacterial small subunit ribosomal RNA
Source: RNAcentral